Molecule: ribosomal RNA, 468 nt
Filed under: uncultured bacterium
Lineage: Bacteria
Description: partial 16S ribosomal RNA
Rfam family: Bacterial small subunit ribosomal RNA
Source: RNAcentral
GACGAACGCUGGCGGCGUGCUUAACACAUGCAAGUCGAACGGAAAGGCCCUGCUUUUGUGGGUUGCUCGAGUGGCGAACGGGUGAGUAACACGUGAGUAACCUGCCCUUGACUUUGGGAUAACUUCAGGAAACUGGGGCUAAUACCGGAUAGGAGCUCCUGCUGCAUGGUGGGGGUUGGAAAGUUUCGGCGGUUGGGGAUGGACUCGCGGCUUAUCAGCUUGUUGGUGGGGUAGUGGCUUACCAAGGCUUUGACGGGUAGCCGGCCUGAGAGGGUGACCGGCCACAUUGGGACUGAGAGACGGCGCAGACUCCUACGGGAGGCAGCAGUGGGGAAUAUUGCACAAUGGGCGGAAGCCUGAUGCAGCAACGCCGCGUGCGGGAUGACGGCCUUCGGGUUGUAAACCGCUUUCGACUGUGACGAAGCGUGAGUGACGGUAAUGGGUAAAGAAGCAACGGCUAACUACGUG